This 253-nucleotide ribosomal RNA is filed under the name uncultured bacterium. RNAcentral's name for it is "partial 16S ribosomal RNA". It matches the Rfam family "Bacterial small subunit ribosomal RNA", at positions 524 to 776 of the family's 1533-position model. The record is from RNAcentral.
UACGGAGGAUCCAAGCGUUAUCCGGAUUUAUUGGGUUUAAAGGGUGCGUAGGCGGCUUUGUAAGUCAGUGGUGAAAUACUCCAGCUUAACUGGAGGGGUGCCAUUGAUACUGCGGAGCUUGAGUACAGAUGAGGUAGGCGGAAUUGACGGUGUAGCGGUGAAAUGCAUAGAUAUCGUCAAGAACACCGAUAGCGAAGGCAGCUUACUGGGCUGUAACUGACGCUGAUGCACGAAAGUGUGGGGAUCAAACAGG